UAUAUUCAUACGCAUACUCAAGCUAGCGCAGUAUGUUAACACGCUUGUGCUAUAAACCUAGUAGGCACACUAUCAUGAUAACUGAAGAGGAAAUUUUUGGUAAGAACCUGCCUAUUCAUUCCUUACAUCAUGAUUCUCAGAUUUCCCCCCUCAGAUUUAUACUGCAGCUCUGAGCUCUUCAGUGAAAUAUGCUUAAAGUCUUGCUCAUCCCUCCCUGGAACUACACACUGGUGAGCACAGUCGUGUGUGCUGCACAGCCUGAGUACCAGAACAGAUGCUUCUGCACUGACUCUUCAUGUGAAAAACAGUCCACAGAGGUAUAUUCAAACAAGAAAUAUCAUAUAAAACAUAGAACAGAAGAAAAAGCACAAGGACAGCACAGCACUUAGAGUUCAUGAACUGCGAAAAAGAUGUUAAGUAAAGGACAUUACUUAAAUCACUUGAAAAACAAUAGUGAAGCUCAAAAUGAUAAAUCUAUGUUCCAAGUGGCCUGAAUGUCUCUACAGAAAAGGUCUUGGUCUUCUACAGAGAUGAGUAUCAGAAGUCUUUCUGAGUUUCUGAACUUUCAUGGGGAAUGAGUGAGACGGGGAAGUCCUCUUACAAGUAAGGGAUAUCUGGGAAUUAUGGAUAAUGGAAGAAUGUGAAAGCACAGUGAGAGUUGAAACAUGAAGAAAAAGAAGUGUGUGGAUUUCCUCAACUAGAACCAAAAAUGAAACUUCUUUUAUUACUGCAUUGAUCACUAAUCCUGGCAGAAUUCAUGUCACAUUGUGAAAAUAAGCACAAAGGAGUUUUCUCACCAAACUGAUCAUAGAGGAUGACAGUAUGAAAAAGAGGAAAACCAGAUGGAUUAUACUGGCAGCAUCUCAGGAAGGCAGAAUUAAUUGCUCCAAUUAAUACUGGAGAGCCAGCUGCAAUCUCAUCUUGCUAAACUUGUA
This is a long non-coding RNA of Dryobates pubescens (Downy woodpecker), 935 nucleotides long. RefSeq lists it as uncharacterized. NCBI's taxonomy places the organism in Eukaryota, Metazoa, Chordata, Aves, Piciformes, Picidae. The transcript has 7 exons. The record is from RefSeq and is a predicted model, not a curated record.